GUCGAACGGAGAUGAGAGCUUGCUCUUCACAUCGAGUGGCGAACGGGUGAGUAACGCGUGAGGACCUGCCUCAAAGAGGGGGACAACAGUUGGAAACGACUGCUAAUACCGCAUAAGUCGGCAUCGAAAAAGGAGCAAUCCGCUUUGAGAUGGCCUCGCGUCCGAUUAGCUAGUUGGUGAGGUAACGGCCCACCAAGGCGACGAUCGGUAGCCGGACUGAGAGGUUGAACGGCCACAUUGGGACUGAGACACGGCCCAGACUCCUACGGGAGGCAGCAGUGGGGAAUAUUGCACAAUGGGGGAAACCCUGAUGCAGCGACGCCGCGUGGAGGAAGAAGGUCUUCGGAUUGUAAACUCCUGUUGUUGAGGAAGAUAAUGACGGUACUCAACAAGGAAGUGACGGCUAACUACGUGCCAGCAGCCGCGGUAAAACGUAGGUCACAAGCGUUGUCCGGAAUUACUGGGUGUAAAGGGAGCGCAGGCGGGAGAACAAGUUGGAAGU
Molecule: ribosomal RNA, 502 nt
Filed under: uncultured bacterium
Lineage: Bacteria
Description: bacterial SSU rRNA
Rfam family: Bacterial small subunit ribosomal RNA
Source: RNAcentral